RNAcentral lists this ribosomal RNA (1361 nucleotides) under uncultured bacterium. RNAcentral's name for it is "bacterial SSU rRNA". It matches the Rfam family "Bacterial small subunit ribosomal RNA", at positions 28 to 1381 of the family's 1533-position model. The record is from RNAcentral.
AUUGAACGCUGGCGGCAGGCCUAACACAUGCAAGUCGAGCGGUAGCACAGAGAGCUUGCUCUCGGGUGACGAGCGGCGGACGGGUGAGUAAUGUCUGGGAAACUGCCUGAUGGAGGGGGAUAACUACUGGAAACGGUAGCUAAUACCGCAUAACGUCGCAAGACCAAAGUGGGGGACCUUCGGGCCUCAUGCCAUCAGAUGUGCCCAGAUGGGAUUAGCUAGUAGGUGGGGUAAUGGCUCACCUAGGCGACGAUCCCUAGCUGGUCUGAGAGGAUGACCAGCCACACUGGAACUGAGACACGGUCCAGACUCCUACGGGAGGCAGCAGUGGGGAAUAUUGCACAAUGGGCGCAAGCCUGAUGCAGCCAUGCCGCGUGUGUGAAGAAGGCCUUCGGGUUGUAAAGCACUUUCAGCGGGGAGGAAGGCGGUGAGGUUAAUAACCUCAUCGAUUGACGUUACCCGCAGAAGAAGCACCGGCUAACUCCGUGCCAGCAGCCGCGGUAAUACGGAGGGUGCAAGCGUUAAUCGGAAUUACUGGGCGUAAGGCGCACGCAGGCGGUCUGUCAAGUCGGAUGUGAAAUCCCCGGGCUCAACCUGGGAACUGCAUUCGAAACUGGCAGGCUAGAGUCUUGUAGAGGGGGGUAGAAUUCCAGGUGUAGCGGUGAAAUGCGUAGAGAUCUGGAGGAAUACCGGUGGCGAAGGCGGCCCCCUGGACAAAGACUGACGCUCAGGUGCGAAAGCGUGGGGAGCAAACAGGAUUAGAUACCCUGGUAGUCCACGCCGUAAACGAUGUCGAUUUGGAGGUUGUGCCCUUGAGGCGUGGCUUCCGGAGCUAACGCGUUAAAUCGACCGCCUGGGGAGUACGGCCGCAAGGUUAAAACUCAAAUGAAUUGACGGGGGCCCGCACAAGCGGUGGAGCAUGUGGUUUAAUUCGAUGCAACGCGAAGAACCUUACCUGGUCUUGACAUCCACAGAGCUUUCCAGAGAUGGAUUGGUGCCUUCGGGAACUGUGAGACAGGUGCUGCAUGGCUGUCGUCAGCUCGUGUUGUGAAAUGUUGGGUUAAGUCCCGCAACGAGCGCAACCCUUAUCCUUUGUUGCCAGCGGUCCGGCCGGGAACUCAAAGGAGACUGCCAGUGAUAAACUGGAGGAAGGUGGGGAUGACGUCAAGUCAUCAUGGCCCUUACGACCAGGGCUACACACGUGCUACAAUGGCAUAUACAAAGAGAAGCGACCUCGCGAGAGCAAGCGGACCUCAUAAAGUAUGUCGUAGUCCGGAUUGGAGUCUGCAACUCGACUCCAUGAAGUCGGAAUCGCUAGUAAUCGUAGAUCAGAAUGCUACGGUGAAUACGUUCCCGGGCCU